UCGCCGAUUCUCUAGGUGGGGCUAUCUGGAGCAUGUUUGUUCGACCUUAUUGCGUCUGAUAGAUAUAGCAUUUUUAUAAGAUAUUCCAUAUUUUUAAUAUCAAAACGUGAUGUAUCACACUGUUCUAGCAAUACGUUCCAGCAGUUGAUCGUUACAUCAGUGAUCAGUCGCUUGUUCUCGCGAAUAACUGUGAUAUCACAACCAUGAUCAUCACAGGUAUCAGUUUGGAAAAGAUGUAGAAGUCAAGCAACGUUGGUGUUGAUUAAGACUUGAAUGGAUGACCGCUUGGAAAUUUCCAAAAACAAUUUCUGUAUAAAACUGAAAACCUUAUUAACGAUAUCUAUAUGAUUAAAAACAAUAUAGAAAUAUGGAUAAUCCCAUUUAAUAUUUUAGGACAAAAAAUUCGGUGGGACAGAAGUUCUUGUAUUGUUCUCUUUAGAAAUUGUAAUAAAAAUAGUAUUUUGCAAUACACAUGCGAUUUACUAUCGGUUGAUUUUCUAAAGAAGAAUUUCAACGUCUAUAGCGUCAUCUAGUUUGCCUGAGAAAAUUGACAAUAUCAUGAAAGGAACCAAAAUACCUACAACACGUUUAAAUUAAAAACGUCUUGAAGCAUUUGAAGAAAAUUCGUUAUUCCGCAAGGAUAUUUAGGCGCAAAGUUCGCUAUACUGUGAGAAAUAUCAAAAUAGCGAUAUGAUGUACUAAACGUGGAAGCGAAUAAAGAAGAUGCACAAUAUAUACGCAGAAGACGACAUAUACAGGAUGCAGUACACUUAACGCUCGCAACACUCUUUGAAUUUCAGCUUUGUUGUUCAUCAAAUAUUAAACAAAAAUAAAUGAGUCCAUGUAGAAGUUUUCCCAACGAGGUUCCUUAAUUCGCGCAAGUACCCCGACGAGGAUGUUGCGAUUAUUUACGGCUGUCGCUUGUUGACCACCCGGUGAGCCUCCACUUCGCCGGGUCUUUAUCAUAUCACGCUCCCGGGUUCUAAUUUUACUCGCGUGCAACGAUAAAAUUCCUGAUGUUCAAAAGGAGCCACGUGUUCCGUGCUCGAAAUGGAAGGCGCCUGAAGCUCUCUUCCUCGCCGACCGACCGGUCGGCCGGUCGCGCGUCAAGCUCGUAAAUCGCCGAUAAGAUUUUUCCCUCGGGGCAGCCGUGCCGGAAGACUUCUUGAGGUCAUCGGCGCCGGCUUUUCGCUCCCAUCUCGUCCCGUCGCGUCGCGGUGGCGGCGACGGCAGCGGCGGCACGAAAGUGAGACGUACCGAUUUUAUUGCGCGCGAAGACGUCAACGUAUCGCGCCGAGGACAGUGCCGCAAAUAACGAGCCAUCAAAGUCAACAAUGACGCGCGGCACGAAUUUAUCGCAUCUGCCGGUGGAGGUAGACCUAUAAACAGAAAUCAUUAAGCGCGCCGAUCCUCCCGCGUUUGGUACACGCAUGAUACGUUUCCAUCUCUCGGGAUAAUUGAUUUCGAACGGCACCGGAUAGGAGCCGACCUCGCAGUCGCGUCCUGCCUCUCUUUCUCUCUGCAAAUGGCAUGAGUUUUCCGAGUUAUCCGAUCGUGACAGUCACGAUUGACCGCUGGAAAGUGGAGAUUUGACCUUUCGGACGCCGCGAGGUGAACGUGUAUUCGCGCACAAAUGCGAGGAAUCUACGCAGAGUUAACCACGUAAUGCUAUAGUCUACGGCCGUGAAAAAGAAAAAAGAUAGGGUGAAUGGCCUAAUUUUAUUGAUAAUGUCUCAAAUAUUGAAAAUCUUAAACUUUUUUUUAAUUAAAAGAUUAAAACUGUAUAUUUAAUUAAAUGUUAUAACAAUAAGCAUAUUUGGAAAAAAAAGUUGUACCAGUAACUAUAGGAAUGCAAUGAGAUAACGAUGUUUUUCGCAUUUUAGCUCAAAGUUAAAGCUUAAAUUUUAAUCUUUUAAAUAGUUCGUGAAAUUUUUUAAAUAUAAACAAGGAUUGAUUGAAAAUAAAGAAAAAAAUUUACAGAUAUAAAACAAACAAUCAUUUUAUCAUACAAAAUUCAAUCAUACAUGAUGGGGUCAUUUGUAACUUGAGAUAAUUUUUCAAAACGCUUUGGAUAAAGGACAUGCAUGAAUUAAAAUUAGGUUUGUUCACUGCCAAACUUUAUUGGGGAGAAGAUACUAUUAAAAUUUGUUAGGUAAAAAAUCACUUGAAAAUUGCACAGACUCAAUUUUCCAUUCUAGGAGUGAAUUUUUUACUCUUAUUAAAGUGACAAAUCAUUCGAAAAAUUGCAGAGGCACAAUUUAUAUUUUUUUUGUGAUAUUUUAUUUUACAAUAUUUACAGAGCCCUAUUUAAACAGAUGUUUGUAGUAUUUUUCAAAAAAGAGAACUGUGCUUUCUGUUUCGUGUAUAUAAAGUGUUAAGAUCGAAUUUUAUAAGUAUUUGGACAGCAAGUAGGCCAUUUAUCUCGUGUUCGAUUGAUGAUAAGAGAAUAGUUAAUAGCUUCGGAUACAUGCGUCUCUAUGAGUUAGAAUUCGGGUCCCGCUUGAGAUUGAAUUUUCAAACGUGAAACCACGUCUCUUAUUUGCGUCUCUCUGCAUGCUCCUGUAGGCCCCUUGGUGACAGUAACAAAUCCGACAUCGCGAAAUAGAAUCCAUGUCAGCUGAAACAUCCUUCUCGCUUUAUCACUUGCCAUGAAAGCUUCAUAAAUAAUAUUAUCGAUAAUAAUCAUAUUAUUAUAUCAAUGCGAUACUUCUUGCCUUCUCUUCAGCAUUGUGCAUCGAAAAGAAUAAGAUUAGAUUUUAAAGAUUACUCCGAUUGUCGAUGAGCCAAAUGUAACUUGUUCACAUCGUAAAAGCAAAUCAGUAGUGCGAGAUCACGGAUAUUUUACAUACGAUGUGACGGCGAAAAAGUCCUCAAUAAAAUUUUUCCCGAUAAAAUAAUUUCUAAUUAUAAUAGGAUUAUUGUAUCGAUCAAUGAAUAAAUAAAAAUAACUUAAUAUAAUUAAACAAUAGCAAAAGAAACCAAUAUUUGUCAAAACGAAUUUUGACGUGAAAUAAUAAUUUUGCAUAAAUUAUACAAUUCCUAGCUCAUGCAUUAUUUGCGAUUAUUUGCCGGUCUUGAAACACAGUUUUAAAGCUUAACCUUUAAACCGUAAUGUCCAUCUUACAGACCGUUAUUUAAACUUUAGUUAUCAAUAACUUGACAUGCUUAACUUCUUUGACAAGAAGCCUUCUAAACUCAUAGUACCUUCAUAUCUCAUCUGUCCCCAGCAUUGCAGUAGUCCCAUUGUCAUUCGCUGAAAACAUAUAAUAUGAAAUGGUUAAAAAAUUGUAAUAGUUCCACAUACCAGGAUUUACCGUUUGUGUUACUUUUAUUGCAAUAUUAAGCAUUUACGUAUUUCUUCAUCAUCGUUUUAUUUAACUCUUAUUUACUGGUGUAAAGUUAUAUUUUACUGUUGGGAAAGUUUUUACGGUUCAACUUUUUUAAGACUUUUAAAACUUUAAAAUGGAAAUAAUAAUUUUUUGAAUUUUACUGCUUCUUAUAAUUUGAAUGUUUCCGAAAUAUAAAUAUUAUAGUUCUUUACAAACUUUAUAGACACUUUGUAUAUAAGAUUUUUUUAUUAAUUCUCACAUUAAAAUAUCUUUCGCCGCCUCUCCUACUCACGAGUAUUUAGAAUAAUUGAAAAUAUACAUUUUUCAUUAUGAAAAAUUUAUAUAAUUAACGGAAACAUGAUAGCGGUCAGACCGCUGUUUACCAAUAAUAUGAUUUUUUUGAAUGUUAUAUUAUAGUUUAAAGAUUAAACCGGAAUAUCACUGAUUAAAUUGAUAAGCAAUUUAAUGAUAUUAAUAAGUAUUUUAGAAAAAAAAAUAUUGUAAAGAUUUAUUAAAUUAUUAAAGAGAUAAGACUUUUUCUUACUAACUUUUUAUAACAUUGACUACGUUCAAAUUUUAUUUCCUCGCAAUGAUCAUCAAUUUACCAUUGAUUUUCAUUACUCAAUUAUAAUCUUUUCAGAAUUACUAAGACACUGAGUUAGGAAUUGCAUAAUUUAAUCAAAAUUAUUAUUAUAGUACAAAUAAAUCCAAAUUUUUUUAAGCAGUUAAAAAAUUUUAAAUUAAUUUACUUUUUCUUUUGUGUAGUAAACAUAUAGUUAUUAAAAAUAACAUUUAUGUUAGUUUGGUAAAAGGUUCAACAUAACAUUAAAAAAUAUUCAAAAUUUAAGGGAAUAGUCCAGUAUUCCCUUAAUAGCGACAGAAAUAAUAAAGGAUAAGGUGCAUAUCCAAUAAUGUAUUCUUUACAAAUUCUAACAAGAAAAAAAAUGCUGCAAAAGCGUGCAAAUUAAUUUAUUUUUUUGUGGGAGAAAAUAUUAUAUCGUAUGUGCUCAUUUAAGUUUAAAAACAGUAAUUUAAAAGCAGUCUGACAACAACGCCUUGAAAGCCUUCGAAAGUGUGACAGUGAUGAUUUGGAGCAACUGCUUGCUGAGAAUUCGGUACAAGCGCAAAAAGAGCUUGCAAAGCAGUUAGAGGAGUAACGCAGCAAACUACUUCCAAACGCCUACACGAGAUGGAAAAGAUCCAAAAAGAAGGAAAAUGAUUCCGCAUGAACUCACAAAAAUUAACGAGUGUUUGUGUAACUUUCUCUUCCCAAUAAUAGCGUAAAAAAUCUUUUUCAUGCAAAAUUGUUGCAGACGAUAAAAAAAUGGAUACUUUUUCGCAAUCCAAAACAUAAGAAGUCAUGGAUAAAUUCCGGCGAAACAUCAACAUUAGUCACAAAGACCAAACGUCUCGGAAAGAUGGUUCUACUCUGCAUUUGAAGGAAUAUCAAAGAUUUUAUUUAUUAUGAGUUGGAACCGAGUAAAACAGUUACUGCGAACUUAUGACAAUAUCAAUUAAUCCGUUUGUGCCGCCUGGAAUUGGAAAGAAAGCGCCUGUGUACUGUUAAAUGAGAACUGUGAAAUUGUUGCUUGACAACACCAAGCCACACAUUUUUAUAACAUAAAAGACAUUAUAAUCAAUCUUGGGAUAUCUUGCAGCAACCGGCGUAUUCUACAGCACGUGCGAAUUAUUUUGGUCGAUGCAACAUGCCUUAUCCGAUAUGAAUUUUUAAUCAGUAGUCCAAAAAUGGUCUGACAACUUUAUCACGUCCAAAGACAUUGCAUUUUUCUGAAUUCUGAAUGGAAUUCAUAAACUGUACAAAAGGUGGCUUAAAAUAUUAUACUUAAUAGAAAGUAACGAUAAACAUUUUGAUUUAAAAAAUUUGUUUUACUUUCUUUUAAAAUAAAUCUUGAAUUUAGCUAAAAAAUUGAAUACAUUCGUACACCUAAUAUUAGGUAUCAAUUGUUAUUAGCUUCUUUCACUUAUAUUUGACAUUUUCAUCGCUCAAUUUAUAAUUAAAAUUGUUUAUUAAUACAAUUACAUUUUCAAAUAAACAAAAAUAUAUUUUAUUCUAAUUUAUAUAAAAAUUAAGUUUAAAUAUAUUAAUUAAUUUGCAAUUUAUUGUUUGAAAGUCUUAUAACUUUAAUAUUUUUCUUAAAUAGUCAUUUACUGGAUUAUUUGAUUAAAGGGCAAUGACCCUACUCCUUUUUCAUAUCGAGAAAAUUUACAAUCUUAAAUUUACGAGAGAGGAUCAUUUCGCGAUAAGUUCUGAAAUCCGCUUAAACCCGAUUUCGUCUUAAAUCAAUAUCGCGACAUUGAGAUUCCAUGAAGACGAAGGCGAUCUCCGUGGGAUCUCAGUCGUAUGAUUAUCCGAGUGUCUCGCGUCCGGAGAAAUAAAUCGCCGAGGACCUCGGCGACGACAAAGUGGCAACGGCCUCCGCUUUCGCGCGCGAGCGUUUCGCGUAUCGCGCGCGUAAAGACCCAUGAGACACCGUCUGUGCAAACUUUCGCGGAAUGUUCUUUGUCGGUCCUUUGUCGGAAUCGACAGUCAUCGUGUCGCGCGCGCGACGUGCCUCGUAUCCCCAAGAGUGUUCGGUGUCGUACGUAGAAGCGUGUACGUGCGAGUAUCCGCGACGAGCGCGGUGACAAGCAAUUAGUACUGGCAAUUAGCACUAAGCGAGAUCGCCACCGCCGUUGCGGAUCGUGCCAAGGAUGUGGCGCGAUACGCACCUCGAUACGCGCGAAUGACGCGCGUCCGGCAUUUAUCGGCCAGCAAUGAUUUUUACUCAGAUAAUUGAAGCCUCACGAUGUAAAAUAUAAAUGAUAGUUAAUUCCGCAGUCAAGAAAAAUUUAUCUCAAUUUAUACGCGGAUAAUUGGAGAGAGAGAAAAAAAAUGAAGGAACGAGAAGUGAAAUAUAUACACGCGUUAAAUAGUUUUAUAUUUUAUCGAGAGUUGCCAACGAUACCGGUAUCGAAUUUACAAGGUACACGCAUCGACGUAUUUACGGACAAGGCUUCGGAGCACUGGUUCAACCUUGCAACAUCGGCGUCGAAUUCUGUUGUAAACAGGCGCGGAUGCUCCUCUCGAUUAUGAGCACGCGCAAAUACAGCGCUUUCUCCUCAUCGCCUUCUGUGCGUCCUGAUCCAACCUAAUUAUCAUUAGUCCCACGCGAUACACGGCGUUGAACUCAGCUCUACUUUUCCAUGAUGUUACGAAAAAAAAUGAUACUUUUGGCAUUCUUGAUGAACAAAAAUGGUCUAGCCGGUUACUCGAGUUCUAGUCAUUACAGCGAAUCUUGGGCAUAUUUAUUGAUUAUUUUGAGAUAUUAGCGAUAAUAAACUCCAUGUAAAAAAUAUGUAAAAUUAAAUAAAUAACAUGUUUAAAAAUUACACAAUUUAUGCUAGAAAAAUAUAAAAUUGUGCUUUUUAAAAAAAUUGGUACUGUUUUGCUUCUAAUUGUGUUUCUAAAUACAUCACAUUAAAUGUAAAAUUAUAAUAUUAAUAAUAUAUCUUAUAGUUUUCAUAUAAAUGUAUAAUUUUUUCUAAUAUUUCAUAAACGUAAUAAAUCAGUGGAUUCUCG
Solenopsis invicta (red fire ant) is the source of this 6909-nucleotide long non-coding RNA. RefSeq lists it as uncharacterized. The record is from RefSeq and is a predicted model, not a curated record. NCBI's taxonomy places the organism in Eukaryota, Metazoa, Arthropoda, Insecta, Hymenoptera, Formicidae. The transcript has 6 exons.